AAAUUCAUUCCUAAAAGUUUCAAUGGGAACGAGCUUUAACACUGGGACAAGAAAGCAGUGUCCAAAAAAACUAUUGAAAAGAAGCGCUCUCUGUGGGGAUGGGAAUGGAAAGUGUGGUCUGUGCUGGUGUACGGUGUGCACACGGAGUAACCAAUUUGUAGCCUAUAUGUGCAUGGAUAUUCUGCAAAAAAUAUAUCUUUUAUUUGGAUCAAGCGUGAUGGGACUCUUGGACCCCCUUGGACUGAACCAUGCGUAUCAGAUUUCAUUAUCACUGUGAUAAAUCAUAUUACUUCCAAUGAAGGCAGUGCAUCGUUGCUGCAGGCUGCAUCCCUAACUAACCACCAUGAUUCAGAGACCAGCAGCCCCUGGGACCCAGUCUCUCCGGUCAGUCCUGUGGCCCAUUCCCUCUGAGUUGAGAUUGAAGAAGCAGAACUAUUGUUGACCUUACCUCCGCCAGAGCCCCAGAAUCCUUUGGGAGAUAUCGGAUGUGAUCGUUCCUUUGGAGAAGUGAUGUAUCCGUAUUGACAACCUGGGAAGGAAGUAGGAUGUCACAUGUGAAGUAUCUGGGAUUUCCCUUCCCCUCAGGGAUUAUUGGGUUGUGGAUAUUGUGGAGUUGGGACUGAGCAGGGAAGAGAGAGGGUAUCUGCCAUUCAGCCUGCUAUGGAACUGGGAUCUGAGGGGAGCCAGCAUCAGCACCAUCACCAGAGGAGGAAACCUGUGACACAUGCACUGGAUGAGCAGAAAAAGGUAAAUGGAGCCCAUCGCUGUCUGUCUCUCUGUCUGUCCGCUAAUGACCUCUUUACAAUUAUGACCACUGCUUCACAGUGGUAAUAAUGUCACAAACAGGAGCUUGAGGGGAACAUCUGUUUGAUUCACCCCAAAAUGUUUUUACAUUACUGUUAUAUGAGUGUUAUCCUGCUGGUGUGGUUGAUCAAAUCAGUGGCUGCAGUUUAAUUCCGUGUACAAGUCACAGCAGUUUCUGAAUGCUUUGAACUUUGAAACUGAACAGAACAAAAUGUACUGCAUAAUGGUAAAAGUAAGUUUUAUUGUAAUCUGUUGGACAACUUUAAAAAUGGUAUGUACGAAUAUAAAUGAUGCAUAAUGCCGGUGGUGAAAAUGACAGUAACAAAAGUAUGUUUAUUCUUGGCUAGAUUCAGUAUGCAUGCAGAGUUAGGUAGAUUAUGUAUCUAUUAUGAGAGAGUUAAUGGGGAUCCCGUCCCCCAUCUGUUCAGGCUUCAUACCAGGAUGUUAUAAGAGGGUUCUCUACGGUAGCUAGGUUGUCCCCCCACCCCCGAUGGCUGGCAGCUGGGGCAGCAUAUAAUGGUCAUGCUUUGGCUUUGGUGAAGCUUCUACAUUGAACUGUGGGGCUGUCGUAGAGAUUAGGUCAUUUGCCUUGAUAAGUACGUGCGAUCGCUUUCAAUGACUCCUCAAGUGAAAGUCUCCCUUUGAACAAUGUAAAGCUCAGUGUUGGGUCUUAUCAUGUCAGCCCCCUCUCUCACGCCUUAUGGCAGCCUGAUUGCCUUGUACUCUUGCCUCAUUGUUGGCCCUCAUUUAGCCCACCCUCGUUUGUCAUCAGAUGUCUAUUUAAUCUUAGGAUGAUUAAAUGUUCUAUUUGUUCAGACCUGUGAUUUCUAGGAUUCAGUGUUCCUGGGUUCUUGAGAGGUACAGGUAAAAGAAGGCUGCUUGUAAACUCAUCAUUAUCCUUCAAUAGCCAAAAGAGUAGUUUUCUGUGACUUGAUGCUUUGGUUUUUCCCCUUACUGAAUUUAUUGAUAGGUUGGGGAGCAGUGAUUUGAAUAAUCUCUGAUUGUGAUGGUAGUAUCAUUAAUGAAUGUCCUCCUAACCUGCUCUAACAUCUUUUAGACCAAUAAUUACUACAAUGCACCAUGUUGAUUACCUUAUUAGUAAUCCAUCUGGUAUGACAUUGACUACCUACAAUGUUACAGUGAGUACUACUGUAAAGGGGGAUACCUAGUCAGUUGUACAACCGGAUGUCUUCAACUGAAAUUUGUCUUCCGCAUUUAACCCAACCCCUCUGAAUCAGAGAGGUGCGGGGGGCUGCCUUAAUCGACAUCCACGUCAUCUACGUCAAGGGAACAGUGGGUUAACUGCCUUGCUUAACGCUCCUACCCACCAGGCUACCUGCUUCCCCUACUGAAGCUCGAUUGUUGUUCUAACUAGAUUAUUUGUGAUUUUGUUAAUUUAGUCAAAUUAGGCAAUUGUUUUCACAGCCCACCUAUGCUCCAACUGUGUUUCCACAGGCAUCCCAUUCUGAGAUAUUUUUCCACUAAUUGUCCUUUUGACAAAUCAGAUCAGCUCUUUUACUAAUAACUGGGCAAAAGAUCAGAAUGUGUCUGCCUGUGUAAACGCUGUCUUAUUGGCACUUUUCCAACAAAGCAAACAUUUCAUAGCAAUGUUAUUGAGUGGUUGAAAGUUGUCAUAAAGUCUCCCAUUUAGCAUUUGUUUGUCUUUGUGUGUUCUAACCUUGGUACAUGUCUAUUCAUGAUUAUUUUGUUUCAUUCGGCAAGCUUUGGAAAGGAAGGGUAGCCCUCUCAUGCAGUCAAAUGACCUAGUGGCCUUAUCGGUGGAAUGGUAUUAAAAUCGUUAAAAUCGUUUUUUUUUUAUUACGCUGAAAAUCCGUUAUUUCUAUGUCAAAGAUUUUGUUAUAUUUCAGUCUUCUGUGAUGUAUAUAAAGUGUAAUAUUGGGGUCAAACUCAAAAUAAAAUACAUUUCUACUGACAUGGUACAUUUA
This is a long non-coding RNA of Salvelinus fontinalis (brook trout), 2750 nucleotides long. RefSeq lists it as uncharacterized. The record is from RefSeq and is a predicted model, not a curated record. The transcript is spliced from 2 exons. Lineage: Eukaryota; Metazoa; Chordata; Actinopteri; Salmoniformes; Salmonidae.